RNAcentral lists this ribosomal RNA (497 nucleotides) under uncultured bacterium. RNAcentral describes it as "partial 16S ribosomal RNA". It matches the Rfam family "Bacterial small subunit ribosomal RNA", at positions 28 to 507 of the family's 1533-position model. The record is from RNAcentral.
GAUGAACGCUGGCGGCGUGCUUAAUACAUGCAAGUCGAGCGAACGGACGAGGAGCUUGCUCCUCUGACGUUAGCGGCGGACGGGUGAGUAACACGUGGAUAACCUCCCUAUAAGACUGGGAUAACUUCGGGAAACCGGAGCUAAUACCGGAUAAUAUAUUGAACCGCAUGGUUCAAUAGUGAAAGACGGUUUUGCUGUCACUUAUAGAUGGAUCCGCGCCGCAUUAGCUAGUUGGUAAGGUAACGGCUUACCAAGGCAACGAUGCGUAGCCGACCUGAGAGGGUGAUCGGCCACACUGGAACUGAGACACGGUCCAGACUCCUACGGGAGGCAGCAGUAGGGAAUCUUCCGCAAUGGGCGAAAGCCUGACGGAGCAACGCCGCGUGAGUGAUGAAGGUCUUCGGAUCGUAAAACUCUGUUAUUAGGGAAGAACAAAUGUGUAAGUAACUAUGCACGUCUUGACGGUACCUAAUCAGAAAGCCACGGCUAACUACGUG